Molecule: ribosomal RNA, 2181 nt
Filed under: Triticum aestivum (bread wheat)
Lineage: Eukaryota; Viridiplantae; Streptophyta; Magnoliopsida; Poales; Poaceae
Description: partial small subunit ribosomal RNA
Source: RNAcentral
AUGGAGGGUAGGAAAGAAAGGGGGAGAUUAAGGAAUUUUGUCCGGCGCAUGGCAAUGGAGUGCCUUUGCUCUGGAGAGCAGCUGAAAGGGGCAGAUGACACCAUCCGGUCAUCGGACUCUAUGUUUACCAAAGAUUUCUCAGCAAGUGGGUACUCUUCCAGGAAUGGAGAGGUUGAGCAAUACCUUGAUAAUGGCAACAUCGAGGAAGCUGAGUUGUCACUGCGGGAGGGCGUGUGCCUUAACUAUGAGGAAGCAAGGGCAUUGCUAGGAAGGCUAGAGUACCAACGAGGACAUGUAGAAGCAGCACUUCGUGUGUUUGAUGGGAUAGACAUAUCUUCGUUAGUUCCUAAGAUGAAAAUCUCAAUUGCUAGAAAAGCACAUCGCCGGAAGACUCGUUCACAAUGGGAUGCUCCACCAAUGCCCUUGCAUGCUGUGAGCCUACUUAUGGAGGCCAUAUAUCUCAAAGCAAGAGCACUUCAUGAUCUCGGAAAGUUCAAAGAUGCUGCACAAGAGUGCAGAAUGAUAUUGGAUAUUGUGGAAGCAGCAGUACCUGAAGGCUUACCAGCAGGCUUUGGAAAAGGUUGUAAAUUGAACGAAAUAAUAUGCAAGGCCGUAGAGUUUCUCCCUGAGUUAUGGAAAUUAGCAGGGUUUUCGCUUGAAGCCAUUUCUGAAUAUAGGAGGUCUCUUCUCAAUAAUUGGAAUCUUGAUGGAGAGACCAUAGCUAAAAUACAAAAGGAAUUUGCUGUUUUUCUUCUGUACAGUGGCUGUGAAGCCCGCCCUCCAAAUCUCCAUUCUCAGUUGGAUGGUUCAUUUGUACCACGCAACAAUAUGGAAGAGGCUACACUCCUUUUAAUGAUUCUAUUGAGGAAGUUUAAUCUGAGGAGGGUUGAGCGGGAUCCCACUGUGAUGCAUCACCUUACUUUUGCGCUGUCCAUGUCAGGGCAACUAAAACCACUGGCUGUACAAUUUGAAGAACUGUUACCUGGUCUGCUAGACAAAAGAGAAUGGUCAUACAAUGUUGCAUUGUGUUACCUGGCAGAAAAAGAUGAUUCUACUGCCCUGAAUCUACUCAAAAGGAUACUGAAGAUUGGACAGGAUUCUGACAACCUCAAAGAACUUCUCCUAGCUUCAAAAGUUUGCGUUGAGAAGGGUGCUCAUGCUGAAGGCGCUGCCUAUGCACGGAGGGCUAUAACUAAUAUACAAGGAGGAUGCAAACAAUUGGCGGGUGUUGCAGAUCUUUUGCUUGGUGUGUCCCUUUCUAAUCAAGCUAGAUAUGCUAUAUCUGAUACCGAGCGAGCUUCUUGGCAGUGUGAAGCACUCGAAGUACUUGGCAGUGCCGAAAAAAACAUGCAUGGGCAAGAUUGUAGGAUAAUGUACAAUCUGAGCCUUGAAAAUGCUGAGCAAAGGAAGUUAGACGCAGCAGUAUUUUAUGCAAAAAAACUGGUGAAGUUAGAGGCUGGAUCAGAGUUGAGGAGUUGGCUUCUUUUAGCUCGAAUACUGAGUGCACAAAAACUGUUUACUGAUGCUGAAACCGUUGUUGAUGCUGCUCUUGAUCAGACUGGGAAAUGGAAUCAAGGAUAUUUGUUGCGAACCAAAGCCAGAAUUCAGGCUGCACAGGGGCAAUUGAGGGAUGCGGUUGGGACAUAUACCCAACUUCUUGCUUUAAUUCAACUUAGAACAAAAAGUUUUGGAGCUGGGAUCUCACUGGCAAAGGGUGGCGAAGAUGAUAAAAGCCUGGAAACAGAGACCUGGUAUGAUCUAGCUCUCUUGUACCUAGGCAUGUCACAGUGGAGGGAUGCAGAAGUUUGUGUAUCAAAGAUAAGAGCAACUAAUUGUUAUUCUGCCUUCGCUUGGCAUGCUACAGGAAAACUAUGCGAAGCGAAAGAUCUUCCAAAAGAAGCUUUGGGGGCUUAUUUUCGAGCAUUAGACUUUGAUAGUAAACAUGUUCCAAGUUUGAUAUCGACUGCUACUAUUCUACGACAACUUGGGGACAGGCCAUUGCCUUCUGUACGGUGCUUCCUGACUGAUGCACUGCAGCUUGAUAGAACAAAUCAUAUGGCAUGGUUUAAUCUUGGCCUACUCUACAAAGAGGAAGGUGGCAGGUCAGCAGCUGAGGCUGCUGAAUGUUUCCAAGCUGCUGCACUUCUUGAGGAAACAGCACCUGUAGAACCUUUCAGAUGA